This 253-nucleotide ribosomal RNA is filed under the name uncultured bacterium. RNAcentral's name for it is "partial 16S ribosomal RNA". It matches the Rfam family "Bacterial small subunit ribosomal RNA", at positions 524 to 776 of the family's 1533-position model. The record is from RNAcentral.
UACGGAGGGUGCAAGCGUUAUCCGGAUUUACUGGGUUUAAAGGGUGCGUAGGUGGGUCUGUAAGUCAGUGGUGAAAUCUUCAAGCUUAACUUGGAAACUGCCAUUGAUACUAUAGGUCUUGAAUUAUCUGGAGGUAAGCGGAAUAUGUCAUGUAGCGGUGAAAUGCUUAGAUAUGACAUAGAACACCAAUUGCGAAGGCAGCUUACUACGGAUUGAUUGACACUGAGGCACGAAAGCGUGGGGAUCAAACAGG